UAAUGAAUACCAUGGAUUUGGAAAGUUAGUAUUUCCUAAAUCUGGUGUUACUUUUGAAGGGAACU
This 65-nucleotide transfer RNA is filed under the name Chloropicon maureeniae. The record is from RNAcentral. Lineage: Eukaryota; Viridiplantae; Chlorophyta; Chloropicophyceae; Chloropicales; Chloropicaceae.